GACGAACGCUGGCGGCGUGCUUAACACAUGCAAGUCGAACGGAAAGGCCCUGCUUUUGUGGGGUGCUCGAGUGGCGAACGGGUGAGUAACACGUGAGUAACCUGCCCUUGACUUUGGGAUAACUUCAGGAAACUGGGGCUAAUACCGGAUAGGAGCUCCUGCUGCAUGGUGGGGGUUGGAAAGUUUCGGCGGUUGGGGAUGGACUCGCGGCUUAUCAGCUUGUUGGUGGGGUAGUGGCUUACCAAGGCUUUGACGGGUAGCCGGCCUGAGAGGGUGACCGGCCACAUUGGGACGGAGAUACGGCCCAGACUCCUACGGGAGGCAGCAGUGGGGAAUAUUGCACAAGGGGCGGAAGCCUGAUGCAGCAACGCCGCGUGCGGGAUGACGGCCUUCGGGUUGUAAACCGCUUUCGCCUGUGACGAAGCGUGAGUGACGGUAAUGGGUAAAGAAGCACCGGCUAACUACGU
This 467-nucleotide ribosomal RNA is filed under the name uncultured bacterium. RNAcentral describes it as "partial 16S ribosomal RNA". It matches the Rfam family "Bacterial small subunit ribosomal RNA", at positions 28 to 506 of the family's 1533-position model. The record is from RNAcentral.